This 429-nucleotide ribosomal RNA is filed under the name Salmonella enterica subsp. enterica. RNAcentral's name for it is "partial 23S ribosomal RNA". It matches the Rfam family "Bacterial large subunit ribosomal RNA", at positions 454 to 783 of the family's 2925-position model. The record is from RNAcentral. Lineage: Bacteria; Pseudomonadati; Pseudomonadota; Gammaproteobacteria; Enterobacterales; Enterobacteriaceae.
CAUCCUCCAAGGCUAAAUACUCCUGACUGACCGAUAGUGAACCAGUACCGUGAGGGAAAGGCGAAAAGAACCCCGGCGAGGGGAGUGAAAAAGAACCUGAAACCGUGUACGUACAAGCAGUGGGAGCCCCACCACCAAAGCAUUCUCUGGUGUUGAAGGCCCUGCAAAGCAGCAUCGCGGUGGCGGAGCGUCGUUUGCGACGCCCAACACACAAAACAAGCGGUGAGUGCUUUGGGGUGGGGUGACUGCGUACCUUUUGUAUAAUGGGUCAGCGACUUAUAUUCUGUAGCAAGGUUAACCGCAUAGGGGAGCCGGAGGGAAACCGAGUCUUAAUUGGGCGUUAAGUUGCAGGGUAUAGACCCGAAACCCGGUGAUCUAGCCAUGGGCAGGUUGAAGGUUGGGUAACACUAACUGGAGGACCGAACCGAC